This is a long non-coding RNA of Octopus sinensis (East Asian common octopus), 265 nucleotides long. RefSeq lists it as uncharacterized. The transcript is spliced from 4 exons. The record is from RefSeq and is a predicted model, not a curated record. Lineage: Eukaryota; Metazoa; Mollusca; Cephalopoda; Octopoda; Octopodidae.
UCUUCAUCUUCCAGAUUUCUCCGACCUACCAGUUCGCUGUCGAUACAUCGAAUAUUUCACAGGAGAGAGUGAUCGUGAUGGUCUUCCACCCACAGAUGCUAUCUUAUUAUCAAUGAAAACUUCCACGAUAUUCCCGCUCGCCAGUUUACUGGUUUUACUUGUUGGUGGAAUUAUUUGCUUCGUAGGCCAUUGCAACACACGAAGAAAUAGGUUGACAUUUUUUGGGGGCAUUCUAUUUGUUUUAGCAGGUAAUCGUGAUUGAUUG